AGCAUACGGGAUCCAACUGAACUUUUGUUCUUAUUAAUCCUUUUUUUCAUAACUGGGAAAAUCUACCAUAUGUGUACUUUUAAAAAAUCCAGUUGGCCUUCUAUGUUUAGAAUCCUUUCUUUCAAAAUUGAGUUGACUUUAGUUGGAAGAGGAGAACAACUGUUUAGCCAGCGAAAUGUCUUGGCUUUUGAGGGAGAACAAGGAGCUGCAGAACAAAAUGAAAGAUAAUCCAGAAAGAGAUACUGACAGAGAUGAGGAAAGGGAGUAUGAGGUGUUAAAGGAGAAAUAUGAAAAGGACCAGAAAGUCAUCAGCAGAGUGAAGAUUGAGGUCUCAAAAAAAAACUGAGAAAAAGAAAGAAUUGGUAAGAGCUCAGGAGCAGGCAAUUGAUGAUGUCUGCUCCCAACUCGUAUCUCUACCCGUCUGGGGAAGACCAUGACAGUAAGAUUUGUCCUUCCAUUUCUUGGAGAGAAAUAGACGUGUUUCAAUUGAUGACUCUCUAUUUCGUUCUAAAAUAUUUGUUUAACACUUUUCAGUCUCUGCCAGAGAACAGUCAAAAGAGAAAUCUGAUUGCAUACAAAAGUAUCUAGGUGUUAAGUGCAACCAUUUCACUUUGUAUUGCAAUCAAGGAAAUGACGAUUCCCAACCAUAGAUCAUAGUAGAGACGGAUGAAAUCUUCCACAUUUGAGAAGAGAGGGAAAGAUGAGAGCAAUUGGAAUCUAAGAAUAUUCCCAGGAUUUCCCAGGUAUUCCUAUUCAAAAAUCUUUAACCAAAUAUAACAUAGACAAAGAU
Molecule: long non-coding RNA, 790 nt
Organism: Pantherophis guttatus
Lineage: Eukaryota; Metazoa; Chordata; Lepidosauria; Squamata; Colubridae
Source: RefSeq, a predicted model, not a curated record